This is a long non-coding RNA of Daucus carota subsp. sativus, 25450 nucleotides long. RefSeq lists it as uncharacterized. The record is from RefSeq and is a predicted model, not a curated record. Lineage: Eukaryota; Viridiplantae; Streptophyta; Magnoliopsida; Apiales; Apiaceae. The transcript is spliced from 2 exons.
AAGUCAAAGUUCGGGUUUGACCCGGCAAAUACCCAAACCUUGUCCGAGAAAUAUUAGUUAUAUUUAUCCAACGCGUUAACAGCUGACCGCCUAAAAGCAUUCCGCGUGAUUUGUGCGUUGCCAUCAAGCAACUCUUGCCGACCUUAAUUGCCUAUAUAUACCACACGCAACCCGCACUUUCCUUUAUCUUCGCAAUUUAGAUUGCUCUCUCCCUCCUCACCAAUCUCUCUCUCUCUCCAAUUCAGAUUGCUCUCUUCUCUCCUCACAAAUCUCUCUAUCCUGUUUAGAAAUUGAUAAGGAUGACGAUACAUGGCAGGUACGUUAAUUAUCGAAUCUCUCUUCCUCGCUUCCCUCUCUCGAUCUCCGCAAGGAGGUUAAUUAUAUAAUCGUUUCCGAUUAAUAUUUUUGAUGGAUCCCGGCGAAGAUCUAGAAAUUCUAAUUAGAUGUUGUAUCAUGUUAAUGAUUACUAAAUUCAAUAUGAUGAUGAUGAGAGCACUUGUUCUGCGAGAACUAGAUGUAAUUCAUGCCUCCUCAAAGAUCAUUAUGGUAAAACCUAUUUUAAGCCUUCUUAAUUGUGCCUGAUGUCAAGUUUCUGCUAGUUUUGGGUUGAUGCUUUUCUAUCGGUAUUGUUUUGGUCUUGUUGUCAAUGAAGAUUCCAGAUCUCUCUGAGUUAUUUUGUUGAUGAGGCACUACUGAUGAGGACUUGUGCGGUAAUGUUUUGAUGAUUUAGAUCACUGUCUGUUUUAGAUCAUUACCUGUGUAUCUGGUAUUGGUUUUGUUGAUGAAGAUUCUAGGUUUCUAUCUAAUGAUCUUGUCCGGAAAGUGACUUACAUAUGAAGAGGCGGAAGUGACUUAUGCGGUAACAUCAUAACCUGUGACCUGUGUAUCUGCUAGUUUUUGGUUGAUGCUUUACUAUGGGUAUUGGUUUUGUUGAUGAAGAUUCAGGUGUUUCUUCCAUGUUAAAAUUACGAGCUUGUGUAUCUGCUAGUUUUUGGUUGAUGCUUCACUCUGGGUAUUUUUCUUCUUGAUGGAGAUUCUAGGUUUCUCUUCCAUGUUAAAAUUAUGAGAAGUGAAUAAUGAGGAGGAUUUGAGCGUAACUGCUCAUUUUGUUUUGAGUAGUUAUUUGUUGAUAUUGUUGUAGCAAUGGUGUGUUGUGUGUUGGCUGGUUUAUUCACGAAAGUUUUAGAACAGAUCAUUCUAAGAGAAAGAGAUGAGACAAGUGGAUGAGCACAGUGGUACCAUGCCUAUUCUCAAUGCAAUAUUAUAAAUUAAAGCUGGUUAGACUUUGUAGGUCGAGUAGUGAUGGACGUUUAUGGGGGUUAUGUCGGGCUAUUAACAUUUAUUCUUCUGUGUUGUUCAAUGUUCCAGUUCUGUGAAGGUUUUGGGAAGUGAUAAGCUAUAAAGGAUUUCGAUAGUUAGGUAUGUACAUGCGAUGGGCAGACUAUUGAGGACUGUCUUUGGUUUGAUCUCAUUCUUCAUUGUUUGGAGGAAAUGUAUAAACAUUGACUAGAAGCUGUAUUAUUUUACAUGUGUAGCAUUGUUGUACAUGAUAAUGUGUGUUUUAUGCAAGAUGUUCUACAUUAUUGAAGUGUUAAUAAAUUUGAAGACAAAAGUUGUGACUCUUUCAACAUGUGAUCCGAUUCUUAACUAUCGUUGUUGUUUGAACCUUUCUUACGAUAUUGUUUAUCUGACGCCCCUUCUAUUGAUAGAGUAAUGUUUUGUGUCUCUUAUACCUUGUUUGUUGUACAGAAAUAUAACUUUGUUUCAGAGUUAUGGACCACACGAGAUUCAACAAAAGAUAACUGUUUCAUCACCCAGCUAUUUUUCUCUUAUAUUCUUGCAGUGCCCCUAUACUUACUAUUUUUUCCCCCCUUCCGUAUACAGUUCAUUUAUGUUUACAUGGCCUGUCAUUUCUCUAACGAAGAUUUGAAUAUGCUUUUGUCGCUAAUGAUUUCAGAAUUACCGGAGCUUGAAACCAUUGAGGCUGCUAAAGUUCAACUAACUUUAUGGUGAUUUCAAUGGUGAUGCUUAACUGAAGUUAUGAUUAAUCUGAUUUCCUUUGCUACUAUCAAGCAUUCCCCCCCCCCCCCCCCCCCCCCACCCCACGAAAUUGUUUUGAAGUUGAAGACAAAAGUUGUGACUCUUUCAACAUGUGAUCUUAAUCUAAACUAUUGUUGUCGUUUGAACCUUUCUCACGAUAUUGUUUUAAUCUAAUGCCCCUUCUAUUGCUAGAGUAAUGUUUUGUGUCUGUUAUACCUUGUUACAGAAAUCUAACCUUGUUUCAGAGUUAUUAACCACAGCCGUGAGAUUCAACAAAAGAUAACUGUUUCAUCACCCAGCUAUUUUUCUCUUAUAUUCUUGCAGUGCCCCUAUACUUACUAUUCUUACAGUUUAUUGAUUUACAUGGCCUGUCAAUUCUGUAACGAAAAUUUGAAUAUGCUUUGUCGCUCAUGAUUUCAGAAUUUACCGGAGCUUGAAACCAUCGAGGCUGCUAAAGUUCAACUAAUUUUAUGGUGAUUCUUAACUAAAUUCAUGAUUAAGCUGAUUGCUGAUUUCUUUAAUUUCAAAGACUAAAUUUGCUACUAUCAAGCUCUCUCCCACUCACACCACCCCCCCCUCUUCCUCUUCCCCCCUCUCUUCCUCUCCCCCUUCCCUCUCUUCCUCUCUCCCCCUCUCUCUAUAUGUUGAAAUUUUGGAGAGGUCGAUACAUCAUAUUGGUGCUAUUAGGGAAUAAUGUCCCAUUUUGUUUAUUGUUGUCUCCUUAGAGAUGUUGUGGUAGAACCACUUUAAACCUUUUUUGUUCCUGAUAUUAAGUUUCUGCUAGUUUCUAGUUAAUGCUCUUCUGUUUGUGUUUUUGGUGCAAGUGUCUAUGAAGAUUACAAGUUUCUCAAGUAAUAUAGGUGUCCACUGAAGUUGAAUUUUAAAUAGAGAAAUUGUGCGGUAAAAUGUCUGUUGAUUUCGAUCAAUCACGUCUUAGAUUAUUAUCUGUGCAUCUGCUUGUUAUCUGUUUGAUGCUUUUCUACUGGUAUGGGUAGUGUUGAUGAAGAAAUCAAGAAUAUAGGUCUCCAUAAUUUCGUAAGGAAAGUGAUUGAUGAGGAGAAUUUGUGCGGUAGUUUCUGUUUCAAUUUUGAUGCAGCGGUUUGCAAAGAGUCGAGAAUCAACUAAGUGAUCUGUUUCAAUUUUGAUGCAGCAGUUUGCAAAGAAUCGAGAAUCAACUAAGUGAUCGACUAAAUAACCUUAAUAUGAAAAAAUUUGGGUUUUUGAAUCCACAAGAACAUAAACAAUUUUUUGGAUAGAUUGAUACCCCUCCUGUACAGAGAAAGUAUUCUAAUAGACAGACACAACAGCAGGCUUAUUAAACUCGUAAUUGACAUGAUAUUUCUACUGAUUUCAUACAUAAUAAUAAGUGAAUAAGAAGCAUUCACUUAACUGCGUAGAAAGACGACUUCUAACUGCUUACUGGCAGUUAUGUUUCUUCCUAUCUUCCUCUUUGAAGUAUUCUAUACUAGUUGUGCUGCAUAACAUUUUGAGUAGAUAUAUGUUGCUAAUGUUGUUUGCAGUAAGUUUAUUAUGUAGUUUGCUGGUUUUGAUCAUGAACAUUUUAGAUGAGACCACCACAAGAGAUAAUAGACAGGAGGAAAAGUAUAGUGUAACAUGCCUGUUCUCUCUAUGUCCAAGAAGUGAUCACUGAGGUUGAAUUUCCAAUAAAGGAGUUGUGCGGUAAUAUGUCUGCGGAUUUCGGUCAAUCACAUCUUACAUCAUUAUUUGUGUAUCUGCUAGUUUUCAGUUUGAUGAUUUUGUACUGGUAUUGGUAGUGUUGAUGAAGAUUUUGGGUCUCCAUAUGUUGUUCAGAAAGUGGCUGGUGUGUAGAAUUCGUGCGGUAAUUUCUGGUUCCAUUUUGAGUAGAUAAUCGUUUCUAUUGUUGUUUGCAGUAAGUUUAUUGUUUAGUUUACUGAUUUUGUUCAUGAACAUUUUCGAUGAGAAUAGACAGGAGGAAGAGUAUAUUAGUGGUAAGAUGCCUGUUUGCGUAAUAUUCAAGAUUGAAGCAGGUUAGAAUUUGUAGGUGAGCUGUGGACGUCUUAAUGUGAGUUAUUCUGGGUUAUUAAUCUUUGUUUUAUCAAAUUUUCUCCGCUACGGUAUUAUUCUUUAUCGCAGUUGGGUCGGUUUUCAAAUUGGUUCGGAAAUUUAUCAGGUGUAAAGGAUUUUGAUAGUUUGGUAUGUAUGUGACUAUGUGCAAUGGGCAGAAAUAUUGGUGAUGGUAUCUGGUUUAAUAUUUUUUUUAAUUGUUUGGUGGAGAGGCAUAAACUUUGAUUAUUAGUUCUAUUGCUUAACCUGGGUGGCAUUGUUGAAUCGAGAUGAAUGUGUUUUGGCAUGUACGCAAGACGUUCGACACCAUCGAUACAGUUGGAGCGAUGUUAGAGUCAUGAUUAUUUCGACUGGUGAAAUAGGCGGCGGUAGAAUACCCUCAAUCUUAACUAAUCAUUGCUUUUUGGAAAAUUUUAUUUGAAUUGGUUUUUUCAUCAUAUGCCACUUUUUUGUUGUAGCUUUGUUUUGUGUCUAUGAUACUAUGUUUGCUCUACAGGAGUUUAACUAUGUUUCAGCCUUAUUGACCACAGCAGCUAGAUUCACCCAAUCUCACUCUCUGUCAUUUCAGAUUGCUCCCCCUCUCUCCACACAAAUCUCUUUCUCCUAUUUAGAUAUUGACAAGGACGAUGAUACAGGGCAGGUAAGUUAAUCAUCGAUUCUCUCUCCAUCGCUUCCUUCUCUCGAUCUCUGCAAGUGAUUACAUAAUUCAACAUGAUGAUGGUGAUGUUGAGAGCACUUGUUUUGGGGAGAACUAAAUUUAAUUCAUAAUUCCUCAAAGAUUGUUAUGGUAAAACUUAUUUAAGCCUUCUUAAUCGUGCCUGGUGUUAGGUUUUGGGUUGAUGCUUUUUUAUUGGUAUUGGCGUGGUUUUAUUGUCAAUGAAGAUUCCAGAUUUCUUGGCUUGUUUUGUUGACAAGGGACUAAUAAGGACUUGUGUGGUAACAUUUUUGAUGAUAAACCCAGUCUGUAAUUUAUCAACCACUAUCUGUUUUAGAUCAUUACCUGUGUAUCUGGUAUGGGUUUUGUUGAUGAAGAUUCUAGGUUUCUCUCUAGUGAACUUUACCGGAAAUUGACUGACUAAUGAAGGGGCGAAAAUUGACUAAUGUGGAGGACUUAUGCGGUAACAUCAUAACCUGUGUGUAUCUGCUAGUUUUCGGUUAAUGCUUUACUAUGGGUAUUGGUUUUGUUGAUGAAGAUUCUAGGUUUCUCUACCAUGUUAUUAAGAGAAGUGAAUAAUGUGGAUGAUUUUUGCGGUAAAUUCUGUUUUCAGUUUGAGUAAAUAUUUGUUGAUACUGUUUUAGCAAUGGUGCAUCGUGUGUUUGCUGUUUUUAUUUACGCAGAUUUAAGAACAGAUCAUUUUAAGGGAAAGAAAUGAGACAAGUGGAUGAGCACAGGGGUAACAUGCCUAUGCUCUAUGCAAUAUUUGAAAUUAAAGCUGGUUAGACUUUGUAGGUCGAGUAUGGAUGGACUUUUAUGGGGAGUUAUGUCGGGUUAUUAACGCUUAUCCUUCAAAUUUUAAUAUCCUUUUGUCACUAAUGAUUUCAGAAUUUGAAUAUGUCUCCAAUGAUUUCAGAAUUUACUCGAGCUUGAAACCACUGAGGCUGCUGAAGUUUACCUAAUUUUAUGGAUAUGCUUAAUGGUGAUGCUUAAGAAAUUCCAUGAUUAUGCUGAUUUGUUUAAAUGAUGGACUAAACUUUCUAAUAUCAAGCUCUCUCUAUCUCGCUCCCUCCCUCCCUCUCUCCCUCUCUCUCGCUCCCUCCCUCCCUCUCUCUCCGUCUCCCUCUCCCUCUCCUUCUGUCCCUCUCCCUCUCUCCAUGCCCCCCUCCCCCCAUAAGUUGAAAUUUUGAGAGUCCGUUACAUCAAAUUUGUUUUAUCGUGGAAUUAUGUCUUAUUUUAUGUAUUGUUGACUCCUCGGAUUGUUGUGGUAGACCCACUUCUAACCUUCUUUGCGUCCCUGAUAUUAAGUUUUUGCUAGUUUUUGGUUAAUGCUGUUCUGUUUGUGUUUUUGGUUCAAGUGUCCAUGAACAUUAUAGGUUUCUCGAGAAAUUUUGUCCAAGUGACCACUGAAGUUGAAUUUUCAACAGAGGAAUUGUGCGGUAACAUGUCUGGAUUUCGGUCAAUCUCGUCUUACAUCAUUAUUUGUGUAUCUGCAAGUUUUUUGUUUGAUGCUUUUGUGCUGGUAUUGGUAGUGUUGAUGAAGAUUUUAGGUCUCAUAAUUUGUUCAGAAAGUGGCCGAUGUGUAGAAUUCGUUCGGUAAUUUCAGGUUCCAUUUUGAGUAGAUAAUCGUUUCUAUUGUUGUUUGCAGUAGGUUUAUUGUUUAGUUUGCUUAUUUUGAUGUUGAACAUUUUAGAUGAGACCAUUAAAAAAGAGAAUAGACAGGAGGAAGAGAUAUUAGUAGUAACAUGCUUGCUUUUUCUGCCUAAUAUUCAAGAUUGAUGCAGGUUAGAAUUUUUAGGUGAGGUAUAGAUGCUUUAAAGUGAGUUAUUCUGGGUUUUUAACUUUUGGUGUGUCAGAUUUUCUCCUCUUCUGUAUUAUCAUUUGUUGCCGUUGUGUGAAAGGCUUUCGAAUUGGUUCGGAAAUUUCUGAGGUGUAAAGGAUUUUGAUGGUUUGGUAUGUAUGUGCGAUGGGCAGAAUAUUGGUGAUGCAAUCUGGUUUAAUAUUUUUAUUAAUUGUUUGGUGGACAUGCAUAAAAUUUCAUUAGUGGUUCAAUUGCUUAACCUGGGUGGCAUUAUUGAAUCUGAUAGAUGAAUGUGUUUUGGUCUAUAUGCAAGAUGUUCGACACCAUCGAUACUGUUGGACCGAUGUUAGAGUUGAAGACGAAGUCAUGACUAUUUCAACUGGUGAAAUAGGCGGUUGUAGAAUAUCCUUAAUCUUUAUUAAUCAUUGCUUUUUGGAAACUUUUAUUUGAUUUGGUUUUUUCCUCAUAUGCCACUUUUUUGUUGUAGCUUUGUUUUGUGUUUAUGAUAUUAUGUUUGCUCUACAGGAGUUUAACUAUGUUUCAGCCUUAUUGACCACAGCAGCUAGAUUCACCCAAUCUCACUCUCUCUCAUUUCAGAGUGCUCCCCCUCUCUCCUCACAGAUCUCUUUCUCCUAUUUAGAAAUUGACAAGGACGAUGAUAAAGGGCAGGUAUUUUUAAUCAUCGAUUCUCUCUCCGUCGCUUCCUUCUCUCGAUCUCUGCAAGUGAUUACAUAAUUCAACACAUCAUGAUGUUGAGAGCACUUGUUUUGGGGAGAAAUUCCUCAAAGAUUUUUAUGGUAAAACUUAUUUAAGCCUUCUUAAUCGUGCCUGGUGUUAGGUUUUGGGUUGAUGCUUUUUUAUUGGUAUUGGUGAGGUUUUAUUGUCAAUGAAGAUUCCAGUUCUCUUGGCUUGUUUUGUUUACGAGGGACUAAUAAGGAGGUGGACUUGUGUGGUAACAUUUUUGAUGACUAAGAUCCCUGUCUCUUUUUGAUCGAUCACUAUCUGUUUUAGAUCAUUACCUGUGUAUCUGGUAUCGGUUUUGUUGAUGAAGAUUCUAGGUUUCUCUCUGGUGAACUUUACCGGAAAUUGACUGACUAAUGAAGGGGCGAAAAUUGACUAAUGUGGAGGACUUAUGCGGUAACAUCAUAACCUGUGUGUGUCUGCUAGUUUUCGGUUAAUGCUUUACUAUGGGUAUUGUUUUUGUUGAUGAAGAUUCUAGGUUUCUCUACCAUGUUAUUAAGAGAAGUGAAUAAUGAGGAGGAUUUUUGCGGUAAAUUCUGUUUUCAGUUUGAGUAAAUAUUUGCUGAUACUGUUUUAGCAAUGGUGCAUCGUGUCUUCGCUGUUUUUAUUCACGCAGAUUUCAGAACAGAUCAUUUUAAGAGAAAGAAAUGAGACAAGUGGAUGAGCACAGUGGUAACAUGCCUAUUCUCUAUGCAAUAUUUGAAAUUAAAGCUGGUUAGACUUUGUAGGUCGAGUAUGGAUGGACUUUUAUGGGCAGUUAUGUCGGGUUAUUAACGCUUAUCCUUCAAAUUUUAAUAUCCUUUUGUCGCUAAUGAUUUCAGAAUUUGAAUAUGUCUCGGAUGAUUUCAGAAUUUACCCGAGCUUGAAACCACUGAGGCUGCUGAAGUUUAGCUAAUUUUAUGGAUAUGCUUAAUGGUGAUGCUUAACAUAUUCCAUGAUUAUGCUGAUUUGUUUAAAUGAUGGACUAAACUUUCUAAUAUCAAGCUUUCUCUCCCCCCCUCCACCCUCUCUCUCUGUCUCCCUCUCCCUCUCUCCAUGCCCCCCCUCCCCCCAUAAGUUGAAAUUUUAAGAGUCCGUAACAUCAUAUUUGUUUUAUCGGGGAAUCAUGUCUUAUUUUUUGAAUUGUCGACUCCUCUGGGAUUGUUGUGGUAGACCCACUUCUUGUCGUAGACCCACUUCAAACCUUCUUUUUGUCCCUGAUAUUAAGUUUUUGCUAGUUUUUGGUUAAUGCUGUUCUGUUUGUGUUUUUGGUUCAAGUUUCCAUGAACAUUAUAGGUUUUUUGAGGAAUUUUUUCCAAGUGACCACUGAAGUUGAAUUUUCAACAGAGGAAUUGUGCGGUAAAUGUCUGUGGAUUUCGGUCAAUCUCGUCUUACAUCAUUAUCUGUGUAUCUGCAAGUUUUCUGUUUGAUGCUUUUGUGCUGGUAUUGGUAGUGUUGAUGAAGAUUUUAGGUCUGCAUAAUUUGUUCAGAAAGUGGCCGAUGUGUAGAAUUCGUUCGGUAAUUUCAGGUUCUAUUUUGAGUAGAUAAUCGUUUCUAUUGUUGUUUGCAGUAGGUUUAUUGUUUAGUAUGCUUAUUUUGAUGUUGAACAUUAUAGAUGAGGCCGUUAAAAAAGAGAAUAGACAGGAGGAAGAGAUAUUAGUAGUGACAUGCUUGCUUUCUCUGCCUAAUAUUCAAGAUUGAUGCAGGUUAGAAAUUUUAGGUGAGGUAUAGAUGCUUUAAAGUGAGUUAUUCUGGGUUUUUAACGUUUGGUGUUUCAGAUUUUCUCCUCUCCUGUAUUUUCAUUUGUUGCUGUUGUGUGAAAGGCUUUCGAAUUGGUUCGGAAAUUUAUGAGGUGUAAAGGAUUUUGAUGGUUUGGUAUGUAUGUGCGAUGGGCAGAAUAUUGGUGAUGCAAUCUGGUUUAAUAUUUUUAUUAAUUGUUUGGUGGACAUGCAUAAACUUUCAUUAGUAGUUCAAUUGCUUAACCUGGGUGGCAUUGUUGAAUCUGAUAGAUGAAUGUGUUUUGGUGUAUAUGCAAGAUGUUCGACACCAUCGAUACCGUUGGACCGAUGUUAGAGUUGAAGACGAAGUCAUGACUAUUUCAACUGGUGAAAUAGGCGGUUGUAGAAUAACCUUAAUCUUAAUUAAUCAUUGCUUUUUGGAAACUUUUAUUUGAUUUGGUUUUUUCAUCAUAUGCCACUCUUUUGUUGUAGCUUUGUUUUGUGUCUAUGAUAUUAUGUUUGCUCUACUGGAGUUUAACAAUGUUUCAGCCUUAUUGACCACAGCAGCUAGAUUCACCCAAUCUUACUCUCUCUCAUUUCAGAUUGCUCCCCCUCUCUCCUCACAGAUCUCUUUCUCCUAUUUAGAAAUUGACAAGGACUAUGAUAAAGGGCAGGUAAGGUAAUCAUCGAUUCUCUCUCCGUCGCUUCCUUCUCUCGAUCUCAGCAAGUGAUUACAUAAUUCAACAUGAUGAUGAUGAUGCUGAGAGCACUUGUUUUGGGGAGAACUAAAUUUAAUUCAAGAUUCCUCAAAGAUUGUUAUGGUAAAACUUAUUUAAGCCUUCUUAAUCGUGCCUGGUGUUAGGUUUUGGGUUGAUGCUUUUUUAUUGGUAUUGGUGAGGUUUUAUUGUCAAUGAAGAUUCCAGUUUCCUUGGCUUGUUUUGUUUACGAGGGACUAAUAAGGAGGUGGACUUGUGUGGUAACAUUUUUGAUGACUAAGAUCCCUGUCUGUUUUUCAUCGAUCACUAUCUGUUUUAGAUCAUUACCUGUGUAUCUGGUAUCGGUUUUGUUGAUGAAGAUUCUAGGUUUCUCUCUAGUGUACUUUACCGGAAAUUGACUGACUAAUGAAGGGGCGAAAAUUGACUAAUGUGGAGGACUUAUGCGGUAACAUCAUAACCUGUGUGUGUCUGCUAGUUUUCGGUUAAUGCUUUACUAUGGGUAUUGGUUUUGUUGAUGAAGAUUCUAGGUUUCUCUACCAUGUUAUUAAGAGAAGUGAAUAAUGAGGAGGAUUCUUGCGGUAAAUUCUGUUUUCAGUUUGAGUAAAUAUUUGCUGAUACUGUUUUAGCAAUGGUGUAUCGUGUGUUUGCUGUUUUUAUUCACGCAGAUUUAAGAACAGAUCAUUUUAAGAGAAAGAAAUGAGACAAGUGGAUGAGCACAGUGGUAACAUGCCUAUUCUCUAUACAAUAUUUGAAAUUAAAGCUGGUUAGACUUUGUAGGUCGAGUAUGGAUGGACUUUUAUGGGCAGUUAUGUCGGGUUAUUAACGCUUAUUUUUCAAAUUUUAAUAUCCUUUUGUCGCUAAUGAUUUCAGAAUUUGAAUAUGUCUCUAAUGAUUUCAGAAUUUACCCGAGCUUGGAACCACUGAGGCUGCUGAAGUUUACCUAAUUUUAUGGAUAUGCUUAAUGGUGAUGCUUAACAAAUUCCAUGAUUAUGCUGAUUUGUUUAAAUGAUGGACUAAACUUUCUAAUAUCAAGCUCUCCCCCCCCCCCCCCAACUCUCUCUCUUUCUCGCUCCCUCCCUCCCUAUCUCUCAGUCUCCCUCUCCCUCUCCCUCUCCCUCUCUCCAUGCCUCCCCUCCCCCCAUAAGUUGAAAUUUUGAGAGUCCGUAACAUCAUAUUUGUUUUAUCGGGGAAAUAUGUCUUAUUUUUUGUAGGAUUGUUGUGGUAGACCCACUUCUAACCUUCUUUGCGUCCUUGAUAUUAAGUUUUUGCUAGUUUUUGGUUAAUGCUGUUCUGUUUGUGUUUUUGGUUCAAGUGUCCAUGAACAUUAUAGGUUUCUCGAGAAAUUUUGUCCAAGUGACCACUGAAGUUGAAUUUUCAACAGAGGAAUUGUGCGGUAACAUGUCUGUGGAUUUCGGUCAAUCUCGUCUUACAUCAUUAUUUGUGUAUCUGCAAGUUUUUUGUUUGAUGCUUUUGUGCUGGUAUUGGUAGUGUUGAUGAAGAUUUUAGGUCUGCAUAAUUUGUUCAGAAAGUGGCCGAUGUGUAGAAUUCGUUCGGUAAUUUCAGGUUCUAUUUUGAGUAGAUAAUCGUUUCUAUUGUUGUUUGCAGUAGGUUUAUUGUUUAGUAUGCUUAUUUUGAUGUUGAACAUUUUAGAUGAGGCCGUUAAAAAAGAGAAUAGACAGGAGGAAGAGAUAUUAGUGGUGACAUUCUUGCUUUCUUUGCCUAAUAUUCAAGAUUGAUGCAGGUUAGAAAUUUUCGGUGAGGUAUAGAUGCUUUAAAGUGAGUUAUUAUGGGUUUUUAACGUUUGGUGUAUCAGAUUUUCUCCUCUCCUGCAUUAUCAUUUGUUGCUGUUGUGUGAAAGGCUUUCGAAUUGGUUCGGAAAUUUAUGAGGUGUAAAGGAUUUUGAUGGUUUGGUAUGUAUGUGCGAUGGGCAGAAUAUUGGUGAUGCAAUCUGGUUUAAUAUAUUUUUUAAUUGUUUGGUGGACAUGCAUAAACUUUCAUUAGUAGUUCAAUUGCUUAACCUGGGUGGCAUUGUUGAAUCUGAUAGAUGAAUGUGUUUUGGUGUAUAUGCAACAUGUUCGAUACCAUCGAUACCGUUGGACCGAUGUUAGAGUUGAAGACUAAGUCAUGACUAUUUCAACUGGUGAAAUAGGCGGUUGUAGAAUAACCUUAAUGUUAAUUAAUCAUUGCUUUUUGGAAACUUUUAUUUGAUUUGGUUUUUUCAUCAUAUGCCACUUUUUUGUUGUAGCUUUGUUUUGUGUCUAUGAUAUUAUGUUUGCUCUACAGGAGUUUAACCAUGUUUCAGCCUUAUUGACCACAACAGCUAGAUUCACCCAAUCUCACUCUCUCUCAUUUCAGAUUGCUCCCACUCUCUCCUCACAGAUCUCUUUCUCCUAUUUAGAAAUUGACAAGGACUAUGAUAAAGGGCAGGUAAGUUAAUCAUCGAUUCUCUCUCCGUCGCUUCCUUCUCUCGAUCUCUGCAAGUGAUUACAUAAUUCAACAUGAUGAUGAUGAUGCUGAGAGCACUUUUUUUGGGGAGAACUGAAUUUAAUUCAAGAUUCCUCAAAGAUUGUUAUGGUAAAACUUAUUUAAGCCUUCUUAAUCGUGCCUGGUGUUAGGUUCUGGGUUAAUGCUUUUUUAUUGGUAUUGGUGAGGUUUUAUUGUCAAUGAAGAUUCCAGUUCUCUUGGCUUGUUUUGUUUCCGAGGGACUAAUAAGGAGGUGGACUUGUGUGGUAACAUUUUUGAUGACUAAGAUCCCUGUCUGUUUUUGAUCGAUCACUAUCUGUUUUAGAUCAUUACCUGUGUAUCUGGUAUCGGUUUUGUUGAUGAAGAUUCUAGGUUUCUCUCUAGUGAACUUUACCGGAAAUUGACCGACUAAUGAAGGGGCGAAAAUUGACUAAUGUGGAGGACUUAUGCGGUAACAUCAUAACCUGUGUGUAUCUGCUAGUUUUCGGUUAAUGCUUUACUAUGGGUAUUGGUUUUGUUGAUGAAGAUUUUAGGUUUCUCUAAUGUUAUUAAGAGAAGUGAAUAAUGAGGAGGAUUUUUGCGGUAAAUUCUGUUUUCAGUUUGAGUAAAUAUUUGUUAAUACUGUUUUAGCAAUGGUGCAUCGUGUGUUCUGCUGUUUUUAUUGAUGCAGAUUUAAGAACAGAUCAUUUUAAGAGAAAGAAAUGAGACAAGUGGAUGAGCACAGUGGUAACAUGCCUAUUCUCUAUGCAAUAUUUGAAAUUAAAGCUGGUUAGACUUUGUAGGUCGAGUAUGGAUGGACUUUUAUUGGCAGUUAUGUCCGGUUAUUAACGCUUAUCCUUCAACUUUUAAUAUCCUUUUGUCACUAAUGAUUUCAGAAUUUGAAUAUGUCUCUAAUGAUUUCAGAAUUUACCCGAUCUUGCAACCACUGAGGCUGCUGAAGUUUACCUAAUUUUAUGGAUAUGCUUAAUGGUGAUGCUUAACAUAUUCCAUCAUUAUGCUGAUUUGUUUAAAUGAUGGACUAUACUUUCUAAUAUCAAGCUUUCUCCCCCCCCCCCCCCCACUCUCUCUCUCUCUCUCGCUCCCUCCCUCCCUCCCUCUCUGUCUCCCUGUCCCUCUCCUUCUGUCCCUCUGCCUCUCUCCAUGCCCCCCCUCCCCCCAUAAGUUGAAAUUUUAAGAGUCCGUAACAUCAUAUUUGUUUUAUCGGGGAAUCAUGUCUUAUUUUUUGAAUUGUUGACUCCUCUGGGAUUGUUGUGGUAGACCCACUUCUUGUGGUAGACCCACUUCAAACCUUCUUUUUGUCCCUGGUAUUAAGUUUUUGCUAGUUUUUGGUUAAUGCUGUUCUGUUUGUGUUUUUGGUUCAAGUUUCCAUGAACAUUAUAGGUUUUUUGAGGAAUUUUGUCCAAGUGACCACUGAAGUUGAAUUUUCAACAGAGGAAUUGUGCGGUAAUAUGUCUGUGGAUUUCGGUCAAUCUCGUCUUACAUCAUUAUGUGUGUAUCUACAAAUUUUCUGUUUCAUGCUUUUGUGCUGGUAUUGGUAGUGUUGAUGAAGAUUUUAGGUCUCCAUAAUAUGUUCAGAAAGUGGCCGAUGUGUAGAAUUCGUUCGGUAAUUUCAGGUUCCAUUUUGAGUAGAUAAUCGUUUCUAUUGUUGUUUGCAGUAGGUUUAUUGUUUAGUAUGCUUAUUUUGAUGUUGAACAUUUUAGAUGAGCGCAUUAAAAAAGAGAAUAGACAGGAGGAAGAGAUAUUAGUAGUAACAUGCUUGCUUUUUCUGCCUAAUAUUCAAGAUUGAUGCAGGUUAGAAUUUUUGGGUGAGGUAUAGAUGCUUUAAAGUGAGUUAUUCUGGGUUUUUAACAUUUGGUGUAUCAGAUUUUCUCCUCUCCUGUAUUAUCAAUUGUUGCCGUUGUGUGAAAGGCUUUCGAAUUGGUUCGGAAAUUUGUGAGGUGUAAAGGAUUUUGAUGGUUUGGUAUGUAUGUGCGAUGGGCAGAAUAUUGGUGAUGCAAUCUGGUUUAAUAUUUUUAUUUAAGUUACCUGGACUCGGCUAAAAGUGUCCAACAUGGAUACGUGUCGAAGUGUCGGACUCAGCAAUAAUUUGAAAAUUUUACAUGUUUUUGUCUUAAAAUAAGUGUAGGAGUGUCCAUACCCAUGUCCGAGUGUCGAGUGUCCGACACGGAUACUCGAGACAAAAUGAAGAGUCCGGGUAACAUAGAUUUUUAUUAAUUGUUUGGUGGACAUGCAUAAACUUCAUUAGUAGUUCAAUUGCUUAACCUGGGUGGCAUUGUUGAAUCUGAUAGAUGAAUGUGUUUUGGUGUAUAUGCAAGAUGUUCGACACCAUCGAUACCGGUGGACCGAUGUUAGAGUUGAAGACGAAGUCAUGACCAUUUCAACUGGUGAAAUAGGCGGUUGUAGAAUAACCUUAAUCUUAAUUAAUCAUUGCUUUUUGGAAACUUUUAUUUGAUUUGGUUUUUUCAUCAUAUGCCACUUUUUUGUUGUAGCUUUGUUUUGUGUCUAUGAUAUUAUGUUUGCUCUACAGGAGUUUAACUAUGUUUCAGCCUUAUUGACCACAGCAGCUAGAUUCACCCAAUCUCACUCUCUCUCAUUUCAGAUUGCUUCCCCUCUCUCCUCACAGAUCUCUUUCUCCUAUUUAGAAAUUGACAAGGACUAUGAUAAAGGGCAGGUAAGUUAAUUAUCGAUUCUCUCUCCGUCGCUUCCUUCUCUCGAUCUCUGCAAGUGAUUACAUAAUUCAACAUGAUGAUGAUGAUGGUGAGAGCACUUUUUUUGGGGAGAACUAAAUUUAAUUCAAGAUUCCUCAAAGAUUGUUUUGGUAAAACUUAUUUAAGCUUUCUUAAUCGUGCCUGGUGUUAGGUUUUGGGUUGAUGCUUUUUUAUUGGUAUUGGUGAGGUUUUAUUGUCAAUAAAGAUUCCAGUUCUCUUGGCUUGUUUUGUUUACGAGGGACUAAUAAGGAGGUGGACUUGUGUGGUAACAUUUUUGAUGACUAAGAUCCCUGUCUGUUUUUGAUCGAUCACUAUCUGUUUUAGAUCAUUACCUGUGUAUCUGGUAUCGGUUUUGUUGAUGAAGAUUCUAGGUUUCUCUCUAGUGAACUUUACCGGAUAUUGACGGACUAAUGAAGAGGCGAAAAGUGAGUAAUGUGGAGGACUUAUGCGGUAACUUCAUAACCUUGUGUAUCUGCUAGUUUUCGGUUAUUGCUUUACUAUGGGUAUUGGUUUUGUUGAUGAAGAUUCAAGGUUUCUCUACCAUGUUAUUAAGAGAAGUGAAUAAUGAGGAGGAUUUUUGCGGUAACUUCUGUUUUCAGUUUGAGUAAAUAUUUGUUGAUACUGUUGUAGCAAUGGUGCAUUGUGUGUUUGCUGUUUUUAUUCACGGAGAUUUAAGAACAGAUCAUUUUAAGAGAAAGAAAUGAGACAAGUGGAUGAGCACAGUGGUAACAUGCCUAUUCUCUAUGCAAUAUUUGAAAUUAAAGCUGGUUAGAAGAUGGACUUUAAUGGGAGUUAUGUGGGGUUAUUAACGCUAUAUCCUUCUGUGUUAUUCAAUGUUACAGUUUAAUAAAGGCUUUGGGAAGUGAUAAGGUGUAAAGGAUUUUGAUAGUUAGGUGUGUAUGUACAUUAGAGCUGGCAAUAGUGUCGUGUACCUUCAUUUCGUGUAUUUUCGUGUAUCAGCCCGUUGUAAAUUUCGUGUACUUAAUUUACAACCCGCGUCCGAUCGAAAACGUUUCGUGUAUAUUUCAUGUACUUUUCGUGUACAUUGUAUAUAUAAAUAUUAAUGUAAUUUUAAUAAAAAAAUAUCCUUACAAUAUAUAUUUUAACGUUUUGUUUAUCAAAUUUUCUCCUCUCCUGUAUUAUUCUUUGUUGCAGUUGUGUGAAAGGCUUUCAAAUUGGUUUGGAAAAUUAUCAGUUGAAAAGGAUUUUGAUGGUUUGGUAUGUAUGUGCAAUGGGCAAAAUAUUGGUGAUGCAAUCUGGUUUAAUAGUUUUAUUAAUUGUUUGGUGGAGAUGCAUAAACUUUGGUGCAUCGUGUGUUUGCUGUUUUUAUUCACAAAAUUUUAAGAACAGAUCAUUUUAAGAGAAAGAAAUGAGACAAGUGGAUGAGGACAGUGGUAACAUGCCUAUUCUCUAUGCAAUAUUUGAAAUUAAAGCUGGUUAGACUUUGUAGGUCGAGUGUGGAUGAACUUUUAUUGGGAGUUAUGUCGGGUUAUUAACGCUUAUCUUUCAAAUUUUAAUAUGCUUUUGUCACUAAUGAUUUCAGAAUUUGAAUAUGUCUCUAAUGAUUUCAGAAUUUACCCGAGCUUGAAACCACUGAGGCUGCUGAAGCUUACCUAAUUUUAUGGAUAUGCUUAAUGGUGAUGCUUUACAAAUUCCAUGAUUAUGCUCUCCCUCCCUCUCCCCCCCUCCGUCUCCCUCUCCCUCUCUUUCUCCCCCUCUCCCCCUCUCCAUGUCCCCCUCCCCUUCCCCCAUAAGUUGAAAUUUUGAAAGCUGGUAACAUCUAUUUUUGUUUUAUAGGGGGAUUAUGUCUUAUUUUGUGUAUUGUUGACUUCUUUGGGAUUGUGUUGGGGUAGACCCACUUUAAACCUUCUUUUUGUCCCUGAUAUUAAGUUUUUGCUAGUUUUUGGUUAGUGCUGUUCUGUUUGUGUUUUUGGUUCAAGUGUCCAUGAACAUUAUAGGUUUCUCGAGGAAUUUUGUCCAAGUGACCACUGAAGUUGAAUUUUCAACAGAGGAAUUGUGCGGUAACAUGUCUGUGGAUUUUGGUCAAUCACGUCUUACAUCAUUAUUUGUGCAUCUGCAAGUUUUCUUUUUGAUGCUUUUGUACUGGUAUUGGUAGUGUUGAUGAAGAUUUCAGGUCUCGAUAAUUUUGUUCAGAAAGUUGCGGAUGUGUAGAAUUUAUGCGGUAAUUUCUGGUUCCAUUUUGAGUAGAUCUUUGUUGCUAUUGUUGUUUGCAGUAAGUUUAUUGUGUAGUUUGCUGAUUUUGAUCAUGAACUUUUUAAGAUGAGACCAUUACAAAAGAGAAUGGGCAGGAGGAAGAGUAUUGUAGUGGUAACAUUCCUGUUAAGAUUGAAGCAGGUUAAAAUUUGUAGGUGAGGUAUUGAUGGUUUUAAGGUGAGUUAUUCUGGGUAAUUAACAUUUUCUUUAUCAAGUUUUCUCAUUUCCUGUAUUAUUCUAUGUUAUUGUUUUGUGAAGGUUUUGAAAUUGGUUCGGAAAUUUUCAGGCGUAAAGGAUUUUGAUGGUUUGGUAUGUACGUGCAAUGGGCACACUAUGUCUCUGAUUUAAUUCUAUUCUUACUUGUUUGGUGAAGAUGUAUAAACUUUGAUUAGAAGUUCUAUCGUUUACCUAGGGGGCAUUGUUUGAAUAUACAAAUGAAUGUGUUUUGGCAUGUAUGCAAGAUGUUCGAAACAAUCGAUAUAAUUGGAGCCAUGUUUGAGUUAAAGACAGAUUCUUGACUCCACAACGGUGAAUAGGUGGUGGUAGAGUAACCUGUAUCUAACAUGCCUAUCCUUUCUUUUUGAGUGCUAAUCGAGAUAAAGCUGGUUAGAUGUUGUAGGUGAGGUAUGGGUGUUCUAUGGUAGGUUGUAUCGGGCUAUUUACUUUUCUCCUUUCAUGUAUUAUUCUAUAUUACAGUUGUGCGGAUGGUUUUGAAAUUAGUUCAGAAAUUGAUAAGGUGUAAUGGAUUGAUGGUUUAAUAUAUAUAUAUAUAUAUGCAAUGGGCGAACUAUUUACGAUGGUGUCCGGUUUGAUAUUGUUCUUAAUUGUUUGGUGAAGAUCUAUGAACUUUGAUAGAAGUUGUAAUUAUUUUAUCUGUGUGGCUUUGUUGGAUAUGAUAAGUGCAAAUGUUUUGACAUGUAUGUAUGAUGCUAGACACAAUUGGUGCGAUGAUAUAUUUGAAGACAAAGUCAUGACUCUGUCGACAGGUGAUGGUAGAGUAAUCUGAAUCUGUUGCUUUCAGGAAUAUUUUAUCUGAUUUUGUUUUCAUUACAUGCCACUUUCUUAUGUAGUUAUGUUUUGUGGCUGUUACACUAUGUAUCUUGUGCAGAAGCUUACAGAAGUUUAGCUGUGUUACAGAACAGUUUAACACAUAACUUUCUCAUCACCCAGCUUUUGUUCCUUUACAUUCUGGCUGCAAUCUCUAUUUUCUAUUUUUUUCUUCCUUUCUCUGUGCAUUUAUCUAUGUUCAUAAUGUGUCUAUCCUGUAACAAAGAUUAAAUAUGUUUCUGUUACUGAUGAUUUCAGAAUAUACCUGAGCUUAGAGACUAUGCCUGCUUCCAGAGUCCAGCUGAUUUCUUGGUUUUGUGCAUAAUGGUGACACUCUUCCUUAGAUUAUUACUAGAUUUUAUGUUAUAAAUCUCUUUUUAACCUCUAUACCCCUUCCCCUCUCCCAAGCCACUUUUUUACUCAGGAUUAUUGCUUCUGACUUCUAACUUGGAGAGGCCGAUACAUAUGUUUGGUACUCUUAGGGUAUUGUCCCAUUUCAUUUAUUAUAGACUGCUUAGAGAUUGUUAAGGUAGACACGGUUAAAAUUUUCUUUGUGGCCCCUGAUAUUAGGUUUCAGCUAGUGGUAUUAUCAAUGAAGACUCUAGGUUUGUUUAGUAUCUUUUUCGUUAAGUGACUAAUGAGGACUUGUGUGGUUUAUUUCUUUUAAUUUCAAUCACUUCAUGUUUUAGAUCGUUACCUGCGUAUGUGUUAGUUUCUGUUUGAUGCUUUUGGACGGGUAGUUUUUAUAAUGAUGAUUCUAGGUUUCUCUGCCAUACAUUUGUUUGAAAAGGUGUCUGAUGAGGUGGAUUUGUGCUGUAAAUUUUGUCUUCAUUUUGAAUUAAUAUUCGUUGCUAUUGCUGUAGGAAUAGUUUGUCGUGUUAUUUAAUCUUCUAGUCAUGCAUUCUUGAGAUCAGAUCAUUGCAAGAGAGAGACGACACAGGUGGAUGAGUACAGUUUAGGACCCUUUCGUGAUUCGUCGUGUGAUGGUAGAGUUAUCUGAGUAUUUAAUCAGUUGUUGCUUUUUGAAUGUUCAUUCUGUUUUCAUCAAUGCCCUUGUUCCUCAGGUAAGUCUUUCGUGUAACUCUUUCGUGUAACGAACAUUUGGAUAUGAUUCUCCCUCCCUCUCUCUCUCUCCCUCCCUCUCUCUCUCUCCCCCUCUCCCCCUCUCCCUCUCUCUCCCUCUCUCUCUCUCUCCCUCUCUCCCCCUCUCUCCCUCAACCUCUCCCUCCCUCCCUCCCUCUUGGUACCAUCAGGGGAUUAUUUCCCUUUUCAAACCUUUUCAAUUAUCACUGAUGUCAACUUUCUAAUAUAUUUGGUGGAUGCUAUUUUAUUUGUAGAUUUUAUCAUUGGAACACAUUUUCUACGUUUUCAACAAUGAGUUGGAUUUGUGCAGUAACUUUUGAUUACUUUUGAAGUAGAUAUUUGUUGCUCCUGCUGUAGCAGUAGUUCAUCAUGUUUGCUGAUUUUAUUCACUUAUGUUUUAGAUGAGAAAAUGUGAAGAGAAAGAGGCGAAAUAGGAGGACGCGUACAGUGUGACAUGCCUUUUUUUUUAUCUACAGCUGGUUAGACUUUGUAGAUGAGGUAUAGAAUUUUAUGGUGAGGUUUUACCAGGUUAUUAACGUUUGGGCUAUAUACGUUUCUUCUUUUGUGUAUUAUUCAUUAUUAUAGUUGUGUCAGGUUUGGAAAUUGAUUAAGUGUAAAGAACUGUUAAUGAUGAUCUCUGGUUUGAUAUUAUUCUCAGUUGGUUGGUGAAGAUGUAUAAACUUUGAUUAGAAGUUGUAUAGUUUUUUACCUGGUUGACAUUGUUUGAUAUGAUAAAUUCAUGUGUGCAAGGUGGUUGACAUAAUUGGAGCGAUUAUUAAGCUGAAGUGAAAGGCAUGGCUUUGACGGGUGAUGAUGGAGUAACCUGUAUCAUAAUUAAUCAUUGCUUUUUUGAAUUUUUUAUCUAAUUUGGUUUUCAUCAUAUUCUACUUUUUGAUAAAAGUUUUCUUCUUUUAUACCUAUUUUGUUGUACAGAAGUUAACUAUGUUUCAGCUUCAUUGACCACGGCACGCUAGAUUCACACAACAUUAUGUCUCAUCACUCAGCUUUUGUUCUAUAACAUUCUGGCAGUGACUGCAUGCUCUGUUUACUAUUUUUUUCCUUUCUGUACAGUUCAUAUAAGUUCAAAACGAGUCCUUCCAAAAAUAAAGAUUAAAUAUGUUUUCGUUCAUGGUGAUUUCAGAAUUUUCCCAAGCUUAAGCCUAUUUGUGCUGCCAGAGUUCAGCUUAUUUCUUGGCUUGUGCUUAACGGUGAUGCUCGACUCUUCCUUGGUUUAUUGAACUAAAUUUGUUGUAAUAUAGCUAUCAUUGGUCUCCCUCUCCCUCCCAAUAUCUCCGUUCCCCUGCCACUUUCUUUCUUAUGAUUUUUAAUUAGGAGCUCCUAGGAAGGAAGUUCGAGAGGCAGAUACAUCAUUUAUAAGAGGAUCAAGUUCCCUUAGUGUAUUAUCCGCUCUUAGAAAUUUUAUCGUAGACUUAUUUUAAUUCUUAUCAUACCUUACAUUAACUUUCUGCUAGUUUGCGGUGGUGCUUCCUAUUGGUAUUGUUCGUGUUAUUGUCACUUUCUCUUGAUUUUAGCUUUCAAGAAGGAAGGUCAAGAGGCCGAUACAUCAUUUUGGUAUAUAAGAGGAUUAUGUCCUCUUCGUGUAUUAUUGACUCCGUAGAAACUUUUGUGGUAGACUUAUAUUAAAAUUUCUCUAUAAAGGCUGAUAUUAAGUUUCUGCUAGUUUGUGGUGGCUCUUUUCUUAGUAUUGCUGGUGGUAUUGUCGAUGAAGAUUCUUGAUUUCUCUAGUAAUUUUGUCAGAAAUGGACUGGGGAGGAGAACCUGUACGUUGACCUGUUUGCUAAUUUAGAUCACUGUAUUUUAUAGAUCAUUACCUACGUUUUUGCCAGAGUUUCCGUUGGUACUUUUUUUGUUGAAGAUUCUAGGUUUCUUUUCUGUAUAAUUUGUUAUAGAAGUUAAAUAAUGAGGAUAUGUGCUAGAGAAGGUGACGUAAGUGGUUGCGUGUACGGUCAUAAACUUUCUUAUUUUCUAUUUGUUUGAUGUUGGAUAUUAAAGCUGGGUAGACUUUGGUGGCAAGUUAUGAAAGUUUUGUGGUGGGUUAUUCACAUUUAUGUUCUUACUUAACUGGAUAGUCUCUGGUUUCAUAUUAUUCCUAUUGUUUUGAUUAUUGUUUACUUGGGUGACAUUGUUGAAUAUGAAAAAUGCAUUCGUUUUGGCAUGUCUGGACGAUGUUCGACCGAAUUGGCUAUAUUAUGAAGUUAAAGACCAAGUCACGACUCUUUCUUGGGUAAAGGUGGAGUAAUUUGUAUUGUAGUUAAACAUUGCUUUUUGGAAUUUUUUAUCUAGUUGGUUUUCAUCAUAUGCCACUCUUUUGUUAAGUUUUGUUUCGUGUCUCUUAAUACUCUUUUUGUUAUGCAGAAAUUUAACUUGUUUCAGCUUUAUUGACCACAGCAUCACCAAAUUAACACAUCAUAAUGUCCCAUUCAUCACCUUUCUUUUGUACUUACAUUCUGGCAGUGCCUGCAAGCUCUAUGUACUAAUUUUCUUUCCAUUUUUUGUACAGUUUAUUUAAGUUCAUAACGAGUCUUUCUGGAAACCAAGUUUAUAUAUGUUUUUGUUCAUGCUGAUUUUAGAAUAUAACCCGAGCUUGUGACUGUGCUGCCAGAGUUCAACUAAUUUCUUGGUUUCUGCUCAACGGUAUAUAGGUUGUGAAAGGGGUGUGUAAAGGUUUUUGAUGGUUUUGUAUAUUUUCCGGGUGAGGAUGCUUAAAUUUGAGUUGAAGUUUUAUUAUUUUACCUUGGUGACAUUGUUGAAUAUUAUAUAUGAAUGUGUUUUGGCAUGCCUGCAAGAUGGUCAACAGAAUUGGGGCCGAAUAUAAAGUUGGAGACAGUCAUGGCUCUUUCACGGGUGACGGUGGAGUAAUCUGCAUCUCAAUCAAACAAGUGCUUUCUGGAAUCUUUUAUCUGAGUGUUUUCCAUCAUAUGCCACUUUUUUGUUGAAGUAUUGUUUCGUGUCUGUUAUAUGGAAGUUUUGUGGUGGGUUAUAUCGGGUUAUUAACAUUUUCUCCUACCACGUCUUGAUUGAAAUUACAGUUGUUUGAAAUGAUGAUGUAAAGGAUUUUGAUGGCUUUGUAUGUAUGUGCAAUAGGCGAACAAUUAACUGUGGUGUCUGGUUUGAUAUUAUUCUUUAACUUUUUGGCGAAGAUGUAUAAGCUUUGAUACAAAGUUGUAUUAUUUUACCUGGGUGACAUUGUUUAAUAUGAUAAAUGCAUGUGUUUUGGCAUGUCUACCAGAUAGUCGACAAAAUUGGAGCGAUUACAAAGUUGAAGACAAAUAAUGACUCUUUCGUGGGUGACAGAGUAAUUUGUAUCUCAAUUAAACAUUGCUUUUUAUAAUUUUUUAUCUAAUUUAAAUUCAUCAUAUACCUCUUUUUUGCGUAAGUUUUGAUUUGUGUUUGUUAUACUCUGUUAUACAGAAUUUUAACUUUGUUUUAGCUUCAUAGACCAUAGCACACUAGAUUAACACAGCAUAAUCCAUCACCCUGUUUUUGUUCUAUUACAUUCUGGCAGCCCUACCAGCUCUAUUUACUGUUUUUGUUCCUUUUUCUGUGUAAUUUAUUUAAGUAAAAAAAGUUCUUUGCAAAAACAAAGAUAUAAGUGUCUUUGUUCAUGAUUAUUUCAGAAUUUACCUGAGCUUGAGCCUGUGUGUGUUGCCAGAGUUCAGCUAAUUUCUUGGUUUGUUCUUAACGGUGAUGCUUGAUUCUUCCUUGGAUUAUUGCACUAAAUUUUGUGCAAGUUUAUGUUGAUACUUAUCUGGUUGUAUAAUUUUGUCAGGAAGGGACUAGUGGGGAGGUGGACUUGUGCAGUAACCUGUUUGCUGAUGUAGAUCACUAUAUCUCUUAUAUCAUUACCUGGGACUUUGCUAGUGUCUGAUUGUUGUUUUUCUAUGGGUAUUCGUUUUGUUGAUAAAGAUUCUAGGUUUAUUUUCCGUAAUUUUGUUGGAAUAAUGAACAAUGAGAAGGAUUUAUGCGGUAACCUUUGUUUCAUAUUGAGUAGAUAUUUGUUGCUAUUGCUGUAGCAACAGUUUAUCAUGUUUUUUUCUGAUUUUAAUCAUGCAUGUAUUGGAUCUUACCAAUGCAAGAGACGGGACAGGACAGGACAGGAGGGCAUAUACAGUGGUAACAUGGCUAUUCUCUAUAUGUGUAGUAUUUGAGAUUAAUGCUGACUUUGUAGGUCAGUUAUGGAAGUUUCAUGGUGAGUCAUUCGUGUUAUUAACUUUUCUCCUUUCGUGUAUUAUAUGAUAUUACAGUUUUGUGAAAGGUUUGGGAACCUAUCAGGUAUAAAUGUUUUUGAUGGCUCGGUAUGUAUAUGUAAUGGGAGAAAUAUAAACAGUCUUCUGCUUGAUAUUAUUCUUAAUUGUCCGGUGAAGAUGUAUAAACUUUGAUUAGAAUUUAUAUUGAUUUACCUGGAUGGCAUGUUGAAUAUAAUAAAUGAUUGUGUUUUGGCAAGUAUGCAAAUAGUCGACGGUAUUGGAGUGAUAAGAAAGUUGAAGACAGUUAAUGAAUCUUUUGCGGGUGAUAGUGGGGUAAUCUUUAUCUUAAUUAAUCGUUAAGUUUUGGAAUAGUUUAUCUGAUUUUGUUUCAAUCAUAUCCUCCUUUUUUGUUAGAGUUUUUGUUUCGUGUCUGUUAUACGUUGUUUGUUGUACAGAUGUUAACUUUCUUUCAGGUGUGUACAUUUUGUAGUGGGUAUCACGGCGUUUCUCCUAUGAUGAUGGUUUUGGAAGUGAUCAGGUGUGACAUGCAGUGGCGAAUUAUUGAGGAUAGUCUCUGGUUUGAUAUCAGACUCUAUUGUUUGGUGAAGAUGUUUUAGAACUGACUGGGAGUAGUAUUAGUUUACCUGUGUGGAUUUGUUCGAUAUGAUAAAUACAUGUGUUUUGGCUUGUAUACAAGAAGUUCGACAUAAAUUUAAAGACAGUCAGGACUCUUGUGAUUCGUCGUGUGAUGGUAGAGUAAUCUGGAUCUUUAUUUAAUUGUUUCUUUGAGGAAUGUUUUUCUGUUUUUAUCGAAGCCCUUGUUUUGUUAUAGUUUUAUUUUGUACUCGUAUCUGUUAUACUUUUUUUCUUUUUUUCCUAAAUAAUCUGUUAUACCUUGUUUCAGCUAUAUUGACCACAGCACGCUAGAUUCAUCAAAAGAUAACUGUUCCAUCACCCAGCUUUUUUUCUGUUACAUUCUGGCAGUGCCUAAACUCUUUACUAAUUUCUUUCCUUUUUCUGCAACAAAUAUAUGAAUUAGCCUUUUUGCACUUUUGAUUCCAGAAGUUACCCGAGCUCGAGACAUAUCUGCUGCCGAAGUUCAUACAAUUCCAUGGUUUGCGCAUAAUGGUGACGCUAGACUCUUCCUUUGAUUUAAUGGACGAAGUUUUCUGUUAAGCUUCUGCCCUCUGCCUCCCUCUUUCUCUCUCUCAUCUCCCUUUCCCACUUUCCUUUACUUAAACUACUAAGUUGGAGAUUUGAGAUGUCGAUACAACAUAUUAAUACCAUCAGGGGCUAAUUUCCUAUUCCAUGAAUUAUUGACUCCUAAUUGAUUCUUAUGGUAGACUCGCUUUAAACUUUCUUGAUUGUUUCUGUUGUUACUGUUAUGUUUCUGCUAUAUUUGGUUGAUGCUUUUCUAUUGUAUUUCAGUGUAAAUUGUCAAUAAAGUUUAUAGGUUUCUGGAGAAAUUUUGCCCAGAAAGUGAAAAUUGUAGAGGACUUGUAACAUGUUUGCUGAUUUUGAUCAAGUACGUUAUAGUUGUAACAUGUUUUUUGAUCAAGUUGUAUCUGCUAUUGUUUUGGUUGAUGCUUUUCUACUGGAAUUGGUGGUGCUGAUGAAUAUAUUCUCUCCCAUAAUUUUGUUCGAAAGUGACUUGUGAGUAGCAUUUUUGUGGUAAUACAUUGGUUCCAUUUUGAGUAGAUAUUUGUUGAUAUUGUAGCAAGAAGUUUAUAUUUUGAGUAGAUAUUUGUUGAUAUUGUAGCAAGAAGUUUAUCUUUUGUAUGAGACCAUUACAAGAGAGACUAGACAGGAAGUCGAGUAUGAUGGUGACAAGCCUAAUCUCUCUAUUUGGUUUUUGUUCAUGAUUGAUAUCGAAAUUUACCUGAGCUCGAGACUGUUGCCAGAGUUCAGCUGAUUUCUUGGUUUGUACUUAAUUAAAUAAGUUAAUGCUGAUGCUAGAUUUUACUUUUAUUGUUCCAUUCUGAAUAGACAUAUGUUGAUAUUGCUGUAGCAAUAAGUUUAUCAUUUGUUUGC